This 261-nucleotide ribosomal RNA is filed under the name uncultured bacterium. RNAcentral describes it as "partial 16S ribosomal RNA". It matches the Rfam family "Bacterial small subunit ribosomal RNA", at positions 99 to 354 of the family's 1533-position model. The record is from RNAcentral.
CGAACGGGUGAGUAACACGUGGGCAACCUGCCCAAAAGAGGGGGAUAACACUUGGAAACAGGUGCUAAUACCGCAUAACCAUAGUUACCGCAUGGUAACUAUGUAAAAGGUGGCUAUGCUACCGCUUUUGGAUGGGCCCGCGGCGCAUCAGCUAGUUGGUGGGGUAAAGGCUUACCAAGGCAAUGAUGCGUAGCCGAACUGAGAGGUUGAUCGGCCACAUUGGGACUGAGACACGGCCCAAACUCCUACGGAAGGCAGCAG